GAUGAACGCUGGCGGCGUGCCUAAUACAUGCAAGUCGAGCGAACAGACGAGAGUGCUUGCACUCUCUGACGUUAGCGGCGGACGGGUGAGUAACACGUGGGUAACCUACCUAUAAGACUGGGAUAACUUCGGGAAACCGGAGCUAAUACCGGAUAAUAUUUAUCUUCGCAUGAAGCAAUAGUGAAAGACGGUUCUGCUGUCACUUAUAGAUGGACCCGCGGUGUAUUAGCUAGUUGGUGAGGUAACGACUCACCAAGGCAACGAUACAUAGCCGACCUGAGAGAGUGAUCGGCCACCCUGGGACUGAGACACGGCCCAUACGCCUACGGGAGGCAGCAGUAGGGUAUCUGCCGCAAUGGACGAAAGUCUGACGGAGCAAUGCCGAGUGAGUGAAAAAGGUUUUCGGAUCGUAAAACUCUGUUGUAAGGGAAGAACAAGUACGUUAGUAACUGAACGUACCUUGACGGUACCUUACCAGAAAGCCACGGCUAACUACGUG
This 499-nucleotide ribosomal RNA is filed under the name uncultured bacterium. RNAcentral's name for it is "partial 16S ribosomal RNA". It matches the Rfam family "Bacterial small subunit ribosomal RNA", at positions 28 to 507 of the family's 1533-position model. The record is from RNAcentral.